UUUGCAAAAGUCAACUAUUUGAACAGCAUAAAAAGAUACUUGAACAGCAUAAAAAGAAUAUUUUCAGAUGGAUACAAAGGAGGAAGGCAGUUUUUAGGGAGUACUGAGCUGUCUCCGAAGAAUUCAGAUUAUUGAAUGUAGGCACCCUUUUCUGAUUUCCUUCAUCAAUUCAAUUCAGGAGAUGUGAUGCAAUGUGAUGUGUCAAUGUAUGUAUGAUCGAAGUGUCAGUCUCUAUAAGUACUCCGCUCCAUGAUCCUGGGGUGAAGUGCUACAAAACACAUUUUUGGUGGAGCAGAAAUAGUGCUGCCUUUCCUGUGCUUCCCACGGCUGUUGUAGAUAGAAAGCAAUGAAUUCAGAAUUCUCAAGUCGGCCAGGCCAUCUUCUCAGUGAGCUUUGCCUCAGGCACCCUAGAUAUUACCACAUGAGAGCUAUAUUUCAUCUGUUCUUAAAUUUUUGCAGCUAAAGGACCACAUUUGAGGGUCGAAAUCCCUGCCACAAAACCAACCUUACCACCUUCUACUACUCAUAAGAAAAAUCCAUCAGAAUUUACUGGAAUUUAUUGCAAG
Molecule: long non-coding RNA, 566 nt
Filed under: Homo sapiens (human)
Lineage: Eukaryota; Metazoa; Chordata; Mammalia; Primates; Hominidae
Description: HSALNT0101037
Source: RNAcentral